CGAAAGGUAUGCAUUGGAAAGCG
RNAcentral lists this small nuclear RNA (23 nucleotides) under Arabidopsis thaliana (thale cress). RNAcentral's name for it is "snRNA_04407". Lineage: Eukaryota; Viridiplantae; Streptophyta; Magnoliopsida; Brassicales; Brassicaceae. The record is from RNAcentral.